RNAcentral lists this ribosomal RNA (755 nucleotides) under uncultured bacterium. RNAcentral's name for it is "bacterial SSU rRNA". It matches the Rfam family "Bacterial small subunit ribosomal RNA", at positions 90 to 862 of the family's 1533-position model. The record is from RNAcentral.
ACUUAGUGGCGGACGGGUGAGUAACGCGUGGAUAACCUGCCUUACACUGGGGGAUAACACUUAGAAAUAGGUGCUAAUACCGCAUAAGCGCACGGAGCCGCAUGGCUCAGUGUGAAAAACUCCGGUGGUGUAAGAUGGAUCCGCGUCUGAUUAGCUGGUUGGCGGGGUAGAAGCCCACCAAGGCGACGAUCAGUAGCCGGCCUGAGAGGGUGACCGGCCACAUUGGGACUGAGACACGGCCCAAACUCCUACGGGAGGCAGCAGUGGGGAAUAUUGCACAAUGGGGGAAACCCUGAUGCAGCAACGCCGCGUGAGUGAAGAAGUCAUUCGUGAUGUAAAGCUCUAUCAGCAGGGAAGAAAAUGACGGUACCUGAGUAAGAAGCCCCGGCUAACUACGUGCCAGCAGCCGCGGUAAUACGUAGGGGGCAAGCGUUAUCCGGAUUUACUGGGUGUAAAGGGAGCGUAGACGGCCAGACAAGUCUGAAGUGAAAAUCCAGCGCUUAACGUUGGAAGUGCUUUGGAAACUGCCGGGCUAGAGUGCAGGAGGGGCAGGCGGAAUUCCUAGUGUAGCGGUGAAAUGCGUAGAUAUUAGGAGGAACACCAGUGGCGAAGGCGGCCUGCUGGACUGCAACUGACGUUGAGGCUCGAAGGCGUGGGGAGCAAACAGGAUUAGAUACCCUGGUAGUCCACGCGGUAAACGAUGAUUACUAGGUGUCGGGGGGCUAGAGCCCUUCGGUGCCGUCGCAAACGCAAUA